Molecule: long non-coding RNA, 6312 nt
Filed under: Gossypium barbadense (sea-island cotton)
Lineage: Eukaryota; Viridiplantae; Streptophyta; Magnoliopsida; Malvales; Malvaceae
Description: long non-coding RNA (GBAR_LNC022531)
Source: RNAcentral
GUCUCUAGUUUACUCUUUAAUUAAUCUCAUUCACAUUCUCUUGCUUGUUUACUUAGUUAACUCGUGAUCAUAUCUUACUCUUCCAUUGCUGAAACGUUGAGUAUCAUUUGAUAAUAUAAUAAGUUCUUAACUCUUAUAACUUACCUGAGCUUGCCAUUUACGCUUUUAAUUGAACUUUCAUGUACCUGAUUCGUUUACUAGUCCGUUGAACCACAUUGGAAUAAUAAGGAUACUCAGGUAUCUUCUGACCAUAACAUGCCAAAGCCAUGUCCCAGACAUGGUCUUACAUGGGAUGUUCUCAUAUCGGUGCCCAUGCCAUGUCCUAGACAUGGUCUUACGGGGGACCUCUCAUCUCGGUACCAAUGCCAUGUCCCAAACAUGGUCUUACAUGGGACCUCACAUCUCGGUGCCAACGCCAUGUCCCAGACAUGGUCUUACAUGGGACCUCUCAUCUCGGUGCCAAUGCCAUGUCCCAGACAUGGUCUUACAUGGGAUCUCUUUACCCAAAUGUCAUGACAUUCGUAUCCAGUACCAUCCUUAUGUAUCAACGGGACUUUUUAAUUUUACUUCUCUAUCAUCUCAUACUUAAGUCAACAUUAAAUAAAUUCAUAAAAUAAAUACAUAAUUGCUGGAAAUAACAGGAUUAAUAAUAAUUAUUGAAAUAUUGUAUUUAUUUACCGUAAACUUACCUCGGUAUCGAAUAGAGCCCAAUUCACCAACUUAGUCUUCAACUUUAUUCUUUCCUUUGUCUAACCUCGAGUUUCGUUUUUCUUGAUCUAAAAUAGAAAAUUUAACUUAUUUAAUACUCACAUUCAUCAAAACAGCCCUCGAAUCUAACUUUUUCAAAAUUACAAUUUUGCCCCUAAAUUUUUGCAUAAUUACAUUUUUGCCCCAAGGCCCAGAAAUUAAACUUCAUCUCAUAUUCUUAUGUUUUAUGACAUGAUGAACAUUUUUCCCUUCUAUGGCAACAUCAAAUUCUCACUCUAACAUGUACUUAUGAACAUUAGGUAUUUUUACCGAUUAUGUCGUUUUACUCGUUUUCACUUAAAAUCGGCUAGGAAAAGUUGUUUAACAUAAUUUAUAGCUUCAUAUUCUAUCAUAAAACAUCAAAAUAAACACUUUUCACUUAUGGGUAUUUUUCCAAAUAAAAACCCUAGGUUAAAUUAUUGCUAAAUUAAGCUACCGGGAUCUCAAAAACGUAAAGAACAUUAAAAACGAGGCUUGGGAUCAGUUACUAUGGAGCUUGGAAGCUUGAAAACCCUAACUAUGGCUUCCCCCCUUGCUGAUUUCGUCCUAAUGAAGAAGAUGAUAAUUUUUGCCAUCUUUUUCCCUUUUAAUUCUUUUUAUUACUAGAUUACCAAAUUGCCCCUAACUUAAAAAUUUUCUAUUUCACUUAUCUCAUGUCCAUUUUUGUCUACCAACUUAACCAAUGGUCUAUUUACCAUAUAAGUACCUCCAAUUUAAAAUUUCAUAACAAUUGGACACUUCUAACAUGUAGAACUCAAAUUUUGCACUUCUUAGAAUUUAGUCCUUUUGACUAAAUUGAGUGCCCAAACGUCAAAAUUUUCGAACAAAAUUUUCAUGAAAUCAUUUUGUAAAAUCAUAGACCAUAAAAAUAUAAGAAAAAUAAAUUUUUCCUCAUCGGAUUUGUGGUCCCGAAACCACUGUUCCGACUAGGCCCAAAAUCAGGAUGUUACAUUUCUCCCCCUAUUUUAGGGAUUUUCGUCCCCGACAAUCUUACCAGUGAAUAAGUUGGGAUACUGUUUCCUCAUAGCCUCCUCGGUUUCCCAUGUUGCCUCUUCCAUCCCAUGUCAUUGCCAUAACACUUUCACUAAAGCAAUUUCUUUGUUUAUCAAUUGUUUCACUUCUCGUGCCAAGAUUCGAAUCGGCUCUUCUUCGUAUGUCAUAUCUGAUCGAAUUUCCACUCAGGAACUAACAUAGGCUGCAAUAACCUGAAGGUACCUGACAUUCAGCCUUUACCUGGUGACAGAUCAAGCAUCUAGAAACAAAUUCUGAAAUAUCUCUUUUCAUUCCUACCCACCAGUACAUUUUCUUCAAAUCAUUAUACAUCUUUGUACUACCUGGGUGAAUAGACAAAGAACUGCUAUGUGCUUUAACUGCUAUGUGCUUUUUGUAAAAUCUUUCGAACAAGUACAUCAUUCUUCGGUACACAUAUUCGAUUUCUGAACAUCAAACAACCAUCAGAACCGAUCUGAAAAUCAGACUCUACACUUGUCUCACACUGAGUCUUUUAGCUUGUAACUCACUAUCAUCUUUUUGAGCUUUAUAGAUUUCUUCGAGAAACAUCGGUUUGGCCAUCAACUUAGCUAAAAUGAAACCAUCAUCAUAUAAAGUCAAACUAGUAUUCAAAACUCUCAAUGUAAAUAAAGACUUUCUACUCAAGGCAUAAACAACAAUAUUUGCCUUACUCGGGUGAUAAUCUUUCACUAGCUCAUAAUCUUUAAUCAACUCUAGCUAUUUUCUUUGCCUCAAGUUCAAAUCUUUCUGAGUCAUCAAGUAUUUUGAAACUUUUAUGGUCAGUGAAUAUUCGACACUUCUCACUGUACAAGUGAUGUCUCCAAAUCUUCAACGCAAAUACAAUGGCAGCCAGAUCUAAAUUAUGCGUUGGAUAGUUUGUCUCAUGAGGCUUUAACUAUCUCGAAGCAUAUGCAAUGACUUUUUCUUCUUGCAUAAGUACACAAACCAAUCCGUUCAUGGAUGCAUCAUUGUAAAUUACAAAUUCUUUACUCAGUUCUGGCUGUACUAAAAUAGGAGCUUCAGUCAAUAAUGCCUGUAACUUGUCAAAACUUUGCUGACACUUUUCAGUCCAUUCAAACUUGACAUCUUUCUGCAACAACCUUGUCAACGAGGUGGCUAUUAUGGAAAAUCUCUUUACAACUCAUUUGUAAUAACCAGCUAAUCCAAGAAAGCUUCUAACCUCUAAUACAUUUCUAGGAGGCUUCUACUCAACAAUUGCUAAAAUUUUACUCGGAUCAACUUUAAUACCAUCACCCAAGACAUUGUGCCCAAGGAAUCCGACUUCUCGAAGCCAGAACUCAUUUUUUGCUAAACUUGGCAUACAGCUGAUUGUCACUCAAAAUCUGUAAAACUGUUCUCAAAUGUUCGGCAUGUUCAGUCUCAUCAAGAGAAUAAAUCAGAAUAUCAUCAAUAAACACAACUACAAACUUGUCCAAGUAUGGUCGAAAGAUUCGGUUUAUUAAAUCCAUAAAUAUGGCAGGAGCAUUAGUCCAACCAAAUGGCAUAGCAAGAAACUCAUAGUGACCAUACCUAGUCCGGAAAGUAGUCUUCGGAGCAUCUGAUUCUUUAACCUGCAUCUGAUAGUAACCGGAUCUUAAAUCUAUCUUGGAGAACACAGUGGCUCCCUUCCAUUGGUCAAACAGAUCAUCAAUUAUAGGCAGUGGAUAUAUAUAUAUUUAAUUGUUACUUUGUUAAGCUACCGAUAAUCUAUGCAUAAUUUCAUCAAACAGUCUUUUUUUUUUCACAAAAACACUGGUGUACCCCACGAAGAACAACUAGGCCUUACAAAACCUUUAUCAGUUAAUUCCUGCAACUGAGCUUUUAAUUCUUUCAAUUCCAUCAGAGUCAUUCUAUAAGGAGCAAUAGAAAUAAGAAUGGUACCUGGAAUCAACUCAAUACCAAACUCAACUUCUCUAAUAGGAGGCAAACCUGACAAUUCUUCCGGAAACACAUCGGAAAACUCUCAAAAUACUAACACUGAUUCAAUUUUCAACUCUGGAUCUUUAGUAUUCCAUAUAAAAGCAAGAUAAGCUUCAUACCCUUUUCUCAAACAUUUCUAAGUAGGCUUAACAGAAAUCAUGUCAAGAGAACUAUCUGACUCAUCUGUCUUUUCUUCGAGUCUUGAACUUCAAUUUCAGCUUUGCCCUUUCCUUUUUCUUUUAACAACUCCUCUGCCUUACAGGCUCUCUCAACUAGAACAACAAACUCUUUUAUCUUUAGAACACCAACUGACAGUCGGAUAUCAUUAUUGAGCCUAUCCUCAAAUCUUUUACACAUAGUAGCUUCUGUAGAUACACAUUCUCGAGCAUACUUGCAGAGUCUGACAAAUUCACGUUCAUAGUCAGUAACAGUCAUCUUACCUUGUUUUAGCUCAAGAAACUCCUUCCUUUUCUGGUCAAUAAAUCUCUGGCUGAUAUACUUUUUACGGAACUCCUCCUGAAAGAAAUCCCAAGUAACUCUCUCACUCAGUGCACCUGACACAAGAGUCUUCCACCAAUGAUAGGCCGAAUCUCUAAGGAGUGAGACAACACACUUUAACAUUUCUCGGGUGUACAGGAUAACUCAUCAAAUACUCUGAUAGUAUUUUCGAGCCAAAAUUCUGCUUUCUCUGCAUCAUCGUCUUUAGUAGCCCGAAAUUCUUCAGCCCCUUGUUUUCUAAUCUUAUCAACUGGUGGCCUUUCUCUUAUAGCUGUACCUGUACCUGUAAUUGGGGGAGCUACAUGGGGAAUUUGAAAAUCAUAAGGGGGUGGAGGUCUAACAGCCGGAUUCGUACGAACGAACUCGGCAAACCACUCAUUCAUAGCUUGGAAGAAGGCUUCUCGAGCCCCUCCUCCCUAACUAACAGAAAUGGGCCUUUCACUAACAUUAACAUCUGGUGGCACCGUCCCUUCAGUGGGAGCGGGUGCAUUACUCUCUACUUCAUCUAUACCAGCUCGUUCGGGAUCCAUAACUAUAAAAGAAAACAUUUUAAAAUCGUCAAGAGUCGUCACACUAUCAAAAUAUAUAAGUAUGGCAUGUAUAGCUAGACUCUUAUUCAUACCGACUAUUCCGAGAACCGACUAAACUUGCUCUGAUACCAAUAAAUGUAACACCCCCUUACCCGAGAUCAUUUUCGGAAUCGAGCACGAGGCAUUACUUAGCUUAUCUUACUAAUUCGGAGCAUAAAAACUUAGUUUGAAAAUUUAUUUCACUAUUUACAGCAAAUCUGUCCAAUCGCGCAGCAGUUACAAAAUUAAGUAUAACUUGAGCUACGGAACUCGAAAUUCAAUUCUGUAAAUUUUCCCUGAAACUAGACUCAUAUUUAUACGUGAAAUAAUUUUUUUAGAAUUUUUUGUUUAGUCAAUUAGUACAUUUUAUUAGUUAAAGUCUCCCCUGUUUCACUACUUGACUGCCCUGACCUCUUGUCACUAAAAAUAAAAUUUCUCAUUGUGGGAUUUUCAUAUAGUGUUACCACUUAUUUCUAUAGAAAUAGACUCAAUAAGGAUUCUAUACAUAUAAACUACAACUCAUAAAUAUUUUUGUACCAUUUUUAGUUAUUUUCUAAACUCAGAACAGGGGACUCCAAAAAUAGUUCUGACCCUGUCUCACUAAAAUUCACAUAUCUUAAUAUAUAAAAUUAAUUUUGUUAAACCGUUAUUUUUCUAUGAAAAUAGACUCAACAAGAUUUAAUUACAUAUAUCAUUCAACCUAUAAUUCAUUUUAUACCAUCCUAGGUGAUUUUUCAAAUUCACGUCACUGUUGCUGCCUGAAUUCUGUUUCUUAGCAUAAUUUUACCCUUUCAUGAUUUCCAUGCAUAAUUUAUCACCUAGACUCUUAUAACAACAAACAUCUUCAUACUUAACCAUUUUAAUAACCAUUCAUCAUCAAAUUUUCACACACCAUUCUUUAGCAAAAUCAUAAUUACAAACAUGAAAAAUAACUAAGUCCCUAUACAUGCCAUAACUCAAACGUGUUUCAUCAUAAAAUACCGAGCAGUUGUUCUUGAUAGUGUAGACGAUCUCCGACUUCUUUAGGAUCCAUGAAGCAACUUUGCAAUACUAUAAGAGAAAGAAAAAUAAAAGAAGUAAGCAUUAAGCUUAGUAAGUUUACUAGCAAAUAAAUAACAACAUUUAACACAAAUGAUUAUACUCAAAUGUCAAGGUCUCUAGUUUACUCUUUAAUUAAUCUCAUUCACAUUCUCUUGCUUGUUUACUUAGUUAACUCGUGAUCAUAUCUUACUCUUCCAUUGCUGAAACGUUGAGUAUCAUUUGAUAAUAUAAUAAGUUCUUAACUCUUAUAACUUACCUGAGCUUGCCAUUUAUGCUUUUAACUGAACUUUCAUGUACCUGAUUCGUUUACUAGCCCGUUGAACCACAUUGGAAUAAUAAGGAUACUCGGGUAUCUUCUGAUCAUAACAUGCCAAAGCCAUGUCCCAGACAUGGUCUUACAUGGGAUGUUCUCAUAUCGGUGCCCAUGCCAUGUCCCAGACAUGGUCUUACGGGGGACCUCUCAUCUCGGUGCCAACGCCAUGUCCCAGACAUGGUCUUACAUGGGACCUCUCAUCUCGGUGCCAAU